CACCCGAAACCAACGUGUAAGAAUUCGACUUUAGCGUUGUGCCUUUUGACUUUCAAACUACCCAGUUAGCGUUUUUGCCAAAAAGCACUUUCCUCAGCAUUUUUCAAGAGCUAGCUAUUGUAUAUCACUUCACUCUGUUUAUUUUCCCAUUCAACGAAUCCCCACUCCUCUUUUUUUCCCCCCGUCUCCCGCAGCAGCAGCAGCAGCUGCUACUCGGCUGACGUAAGGAAAAGAAAAAUCGUCGGGAUCCGACAUCCUCCCCGGGGGGAGUCCCGCUUCGGGAGAAGAAGAUUUUGUUGUUGUUGUUGUUGUUGCACGCGGAAGAAGAAGCGAAGGGGCUUAUCCUCACGAGGGCCGCGGGGGUGCCGGAGCCUAUCCCAGCUAAAGGAGGACGACACCCUGAACUGGUGAAAAACGCGGCAACCUCUGGACGACUUCACGCUGGCCCGCGCACGGCGCCGACAUUUACGAGGGAGAAGCGGCGCGUGACGACGCACGAACGCAUCCCGCCUGAAUCAUCGGUUGGAAAAUGGCUGCAGACCGACUUGUGAAUGCUGUAUAUGAAGAUGAAAAUGAACAUUUCCAAUUUUUACUCCAAGCUUUGCAAUGUGCCACAAGCACACAGAUGAUCUUAGCCAAAAUUGCAAGACUGAAUAAAGCCGCCCCAAAAAAUAUUUUUUCCCCCCUGUAAAAGUAAAGUAAAAAAAUCCAAUGAUUUAAAAAUAUAAAAAAACAAUGAUGUUAUUGUCUUUAAUAGUAUUUUCCUGAGAAACAUCUUUUGAACAUUUUUUAAUUCAUUUUAUUACCAAAAAUGUUACGUAUUUUGUUUUGUAAAAAAAAAAAAAAUAAGAAUCGUUGACCAAAAAUCUGCUUUUUGAAAAUAAA
Syngnathoides biaculeatus (alligator pipefish) is the source of this 885-nucleotide long non-coding RNA. RefSeq lists it as uncharacterized. The record is from RefSeq and is a predicted model, not a curated record. The transcript has 3 exons. NCBI's taxonomy places the organism in Eukaryota, Metazoa, Chordata, Actinopteri, Syngnathiformes, Syngnathidae.